GCCGGGUGCAGUGGCGCACACCUAUAAUCCCAGCGGCUUGGGAGACUGAGACAGGAGGAUCGCAAGUUCAAAGACAGCUUCAACAAGAGCGAGGUACUAAGCAACUCAGUAAGACCCUGUCUCUA
RNAcentral lists this small RNA (125 nucleotides) under Marmota monax (woodchuck). The record is from RNAcentral. Lineage: Eukaryota; Metazoa; Chordata; Mammalia; Rodentia; Sciuridae.